This 406-nucleotide ribosomal RNA is filed under the name uncultured Syntrophus sp. RNAcentral describes it as "bacterial SSU rRNA". It matches the Rfam family "Bacterial small subunit ribosomal RNA", at positions 971 to 1382 of the family's 1533-position model. Lineage: Bacteria; Pseudomonadati; Thermodesulfobacteriota; Syntrophia; Syntrophales; Syntrophaceae. The record is from RNAcentral.
UUACCUGGGCUUGACAUCCCGGGAAUCCCCUGGAAACAGGGGAGUGCCCUUCGGGAACCCGGUGACAGGUGCUGCAUGGCUGUCGUCAGCUCGUGUCGAGAGAUGUGGGUUAAGUCCCGCAACGAGCGCAACCCUUGUCUUUAAUUGCCAUCAUUUAGUUGGGCACUUUAAGAGACUGCGGUGUUAAGCCGGAGAAGUGGGGAUGACGUCAAGUCCUCAUGGCCUUUAUGCCCAGGGCUACACACGUGCUACAAUGGGCGGUACAAAGAGAAGCAACCUCGCGAGGGUGAGCAAAUCUCAAAAAGCCGUUCUCAGUUCGGAUUGAAGUCUGCAACUCGACUUCAUGAAGUCGGAAUCGCUAGUAAUCGCGGAUCAGCAUGCCGCGGUGAAUACGUUCCCGGGCCUU